Molecule: RNA transcript, 2040 nt
Organism: Tachysurus fulvidraco (yellow catfish)
Lineage: Eukaryota; Metazoa; Chordata; Actinopteri; Siluriformes; Bagridae
Gene: rnpc3
Gene name: RNA-binding region (RNP1, RRM) containing 3
Exons: 16
Source: RefSeq, a predicted model, not a curated record
UAAAAUGUCGGUCUGCUCCCUACAUAGGGCACUAUGUAGUGUGUAAUGCUAUGUAGUAUGUAUGACGUCACCGCUUUCAGCACACUAUGUAGUGCACACGGUGCUAAUAUUGUGGUUUGAGAUACGGCCGUUAAUUGGUGAGCCAAUUUAAACCAGGUGUGAGUCAUGGCGCAGCAGGACGAGGACAGCGUCCACACUAAACGCAGUAAGACCCUGAUUGUGAGACACCUCCCUGCAGACCUGAGCCGUGAGGAGAAGGAGGACCUGCUGGUGUAUUUCGGCGCCUUGUCUGUGCGCGUUCUCUCUGAUAAAGGCCCUUUAAAACACACCGCUUUUGCCACUUUCUCUAGUGAGACAUCAGCGUCGAAGGCUCUGAGGAGACUCCAUCAGUUGAGGAUUCUGGGCCACACGCUGGUCGUGGAGUUUUCCAAGGAUCAAGAUAACACGGUCGUGCUGAAGAGUCCGAAGAUCACCGACAGGUUUGCUGAUGAUCCAAAUGAAAAGGAGAAGAAGGAGAAUCAGCAGCCGAACCUCCCUCUCAUCGAAACCGGCAUCGCUCCCUCUCACGGGUUAAAUUUCCAACCAAAUCCGACACUGAAAUAUUUAUACCCUCUCCCAUCGAGUGCCAUCCUGACAAACAUCACACACACACUCCUGAGCGUGCCCAAGUUCUACGUUCAGGUUCUUCACCUGAUGAAUAAGAUGAACCUGCCGUGUCCGUUCGGACACGUAACCACCGCUCCCCCUGCGUACACAAUGGCUCACGACUGGUUGCCCCACAUGGUCCCGCCUCCCCCUGUGUUUCCCCCGGAGAACCCCCCACUGCCGGAGGGCACCAGCGAUGAAGAGCAGGAGUCUGAGUACGAGAGCGGAGAUGAUGAUGAAGAUAAAGAGAGGAUGAUCAGAAUGAUGGGGCUCGUUAACCAGCCAUGCAAACGACCUCUGAGAACAAAGAUGGCUGCCACGAGGAAGAAACCCAAACUUAAGGACCUGUUGUUUACCCCAAAACCUGAAUCGCACAGCGCUCCAGGUCCCACUCUGAGGCCCUCCGACGUGUUCGAGCAGCCGCUCCAGCUCGGACCCAAGAAGAUCGAGUUCCACAUCCCGGCCGAGACGAGGGCACAGGAGGAGGAGGGGGAGGAGGAUGAGGAUGAGGAGGAGACUCAGGAGGAAGCAGCAGACUUGGUGGAGCAGGAAGCAGCAGGGUCAGGAUUUGGGAAGCUGUAUCCCAGUAUACAGAGCUGCAGAGAGGAGGAGAGUGGAGAGAAAGAGGAUGAAAUCCCCUCAGAGUUCAUCACCAGGAGAGAGCUAGAGAAAGGCAGACUCUCCAGAGAUGAGAUGAAGAGGAUGUCCGUGUUUAAGAACUAUGAACCAGGAGAACCGACGUGUAGGCUUUAUGUGAAGAACAUCGCCAAACAAGUGGAAGAAAAAGAGCUGAAAUAUAUCUACAGCAGGUACAUCGACACAUCAUCAGAGGAUGAGAGAAACAGGUUUGAUAUCGUUUUAAUGAAGGAGGGAAGAAUGAAAGGUCAAGCCUUCAUUGGGCUUCCCAGUGAGAAAAGUGCAGAGAAGGCCUUGAGGGACACGAACGGAUAUGUCCUACACGACAAGCCCCUAGUGGUUUUCACAAGCUCUGUGUUUUAGACUUAACUCAAAACUCUCCAGCAAUUCGCUCGAUCGGCGAAACCUAGACAGGACGCGACGGAUUCCAAGACUGGAACCAAAAAACACUGAGAGGGGAUGUUGAAGUGACGUCAGUCUCGACUCCGCAGCAGUGUGUAUCCUUAACCCUGCAUAUCCUUUCAGACCGAUUCUACACUUUAUCAUUACGUCAUAAAAUCAUUUAGCCAUGGUUGUUUAUGUACCUUGUUGUUUUUAGCUCCUCGUUCUCUCACUUGUAAUUUCAGCUCCCAGGUGAAGAAGCUCCUCCUCAGUAUCUUCAUGAGAAGUUCCUCGGUUCCUCCCUUUCUCUCAGUCCAAGCUGCACUCAUUAUUACCGUGUCUUUAAUGUAACGUGAUGAAAUAAAGUAUUUCACAUCA